UACAGAGGUGGCAAGCGUUGUUCGGAAUUACUGGGCGUAAAGGGCGCGUAGGCGGCCUACUAAGUCAGACGUGAAAUCCCCCGGCUUAACCUGGGAACUGCGUCUGAUACUGGAAGGCUUGAGUAUGGGAGAGGGAUGUAGAAUUCCAGGUGUAGCGGUGAAAUGCGUAGAUAUCUGGAGGAAUACCGGUGGCGAAGGCGGCAUCCUGGACCAUUUACUGACGCUGAGGCGCGAAAGCUAGGGGAGCAAACGGG
RNAcentral lists this ribosomal RNA (254 nucleotides) under uncultured bacterium. Its description in RNAcentral is "partial 16S ribosomal RNA". It matches the Rfam family "Bacterial small subunit ribosomal RNA", at positions 524 to 776 of the family's 1533-position model. The record is from RNAcentral.